AAUUUCAUAAAUUUAGCCUGUAAAAUUUAUGAUUUAUAAUAAUUUAUUUAUAUAAUGUAAUA
RNAcentral lists this transfer RNA (62 nucleotides) under Trichinella nelsoni. RNAcentral describes it as "tRNA-Lys". The record is from RNAcentral. Lineage: Eukaryota; Metazoa; Nematoda; Enoplea; Trichinellida; Trichinellidae.